This 588-nucleotide ribosomal RNA is filed under the name uncultured bacterium. RNAcentral's name for it is "partial 16S ribosomal RNA". It matches the Rfam family "Bacterial small subunit ribosomal RNA", at positions 355 to 1375 of the family's 1533-position model. The record is from RNAcentral.
UGGGGAAUUUUGGACAAUGGGCGAAAGCCUGAUCCAGCAAUGCCGCGUGUGUGAAGAAGGCCUUCGGGUUGUAAAGCACUUUUGUCCGGAAAGAAAUCCUUGGCUCUAAUACAGUCGGGGGAUGACGGUACCGGAAGAAUAAGCACCGGCUAACUACGUGCCAGCAGCCGCGGUAAUACGUAGGGUGCAAGCGUUAAUCGGAAUUACUGGGCGUAAAGCGUGCGCAGGCGGUUUGCUAAGACCGAUGUGAAAUCCCCGGGCUCAACCUGGGAACUGCAUUGGUGACUGGCAGGCUAGAGUAUGGCAGAGGGGGGUAGAAUUCCACGUGUAGCAGUGAAAUGCGUAGAGAUGUGGAGGAAUACCGAUGGCGAAGGCAGCCCCCUGGGCCAAUACUGACGCUCAUGCACGAAAGCGUGGGGAGCAAAACAGGAUUAGAUACCCUGGUAGUCCACGCCCUAAAACGAUGUCAACUAGUUGUUAGGGAUUCAUUUUCCUUAGUAACGUAGCUAACGCGUGAAGUUGACCGCCUGGGGAGUACGGUCGCAAGAUUAAAACUCAAAGGAAUUGACGGGGUCAUAGCUGUUUCCU